GAAGGAAGACAUCAUGAUGACCUAUCAAACUGUUGUCUUGUGCGCCUCUCCUGACACUUCCAGUAACAUGGCUCAAAGCAAUAGUUACUACAAAUGCAAGGAUGCAUUUGUUGAUCAUUUACACAACAGGAAGAGCAGGGAGGGAGGAAAAUUCACUCCAGUUGCUUCCCUCAGAGAGUGUCAGAGAAAAUUGGUUCUUCUCUUUGAGAAACUUGAAAACAUGCUUUGGAUAAUUCAGACAAAUAAAUAACACAAUACAAACUGUUAUUUACUGCCUGAAAGGACAGAAGAGUUUUGAGUUCCAUGGAAGCAGACUGUUUUUGUAAUUUACAGUGUGGUAAAAUAUCUGGCCAAUACCAAUUUUUUUUUUUUUUUUUUUUUUUUUUCCUAUUUAAGAAGCUAAAUCUAAAAUAAAGACCUUCUUGAGAGAGUUUUAAAGAGUAUU
This 445-nucleotide long non-coding RNA is filed under the name Anas platyrhynchos platyrhynchos (common mallard). RNAcentral describes it as "lncRNA (ENSAPLG00000021085.1)". Lineage: Eukaryota; Metazoa; Chordata; Aves; Anseriformes; Anatidae. The record is from RNAcentral.